UGUCAUUUUACUUCCUGUUUUGCGAUCAGAAGGCAAACACAGGGGGAGGAGAGGAGAUGAGGUACUAACGGAACAUUGGAGAACCUUGUUUACCCAACAAGACUACAAUUUUUUCAAUUUUUCGUGUAAAACCGUCGCAAAAAUGAUAAAGAAAGACGCAGUUAAGAAGCACAUGAAUCGUAUGAGGCAACUUGCUAAUCAGAAUUUAGGAAGAGCUGAAAAGACAGAGGUCCUCAACCAAGACUUGCAACAGUGUGAAAAACGAGUGGAACAAAUCAAGCAUGCUUGUCAGAACACGAGUAAAAAACUUUCAGCAUGUCAGCAAAGUCAAGGAACAGAUGUUGAGAAACGAAUGAAAAAACUUCCACAGCAUGCAUUAGCUCAAACAAUGGAAGAAAGUGGAAAAGAACUUGGAGAAAAUUCAAUAUUUGGAAAUAUGCUUCUCCAGGCCUCAGAUGUAUCAUUUAGCUUAGCCCUUGAACUUACAAGUUUUGAGACAAGUAUGGAGAAAUUUGUCAUCGCCCCUUUAAGCAGUGUACUUGAGAAUGAAAUUCCAGCAAUUGCAUCGGUAAAGAAAAGAUUGACUAAAUUAACUCUGGAUUUAGACUCUUCCAAAUCAAGGUACCAUCAAGCUGUCCGAGGCACAACGUAUGGAAAAACAAAUUUUGCUGAAAUGGCAAGUAAAACAGAAUCUCUGAAAACAGAGCAAGAAGAAUCGCAACACAAAGUAAACCAAACAAGGGACCAACUUUCAAUGGAGAUGAUGACGCUGAUAACGAAAGAAGGAGAAUUAGCAAGGACACUCAUAGACUUUGUCGAAGCUCAAGCUCAGUACCAUAGAAACGCCCUUACAAAAUUAGAACGAAUGAUUCCUGCCAUGAAGGAGAUUCUGGAGCAUGACGCUUUACAGCCGAUAUUCGGUUGCCCGCUAGAGGAUCAUCUUAAGAUUACGGAGCGGGAGAUAGCGUUGGUUAUUGAGGCAUGUGUCAUCACACUUGUCACAUUUGGUCUGGAGGAAGAAGGACUUUUCCGUCUGGCGGGCAGUCAGUCAAAAGUUAAAAAGUUAAAAGCAAUGUUUGAUUCCUGGGUUGAAAUUGAUAUGGCCGAAUAUGAAACUGAUUUACAUGCGGUUGCUGGAAUUUUGAAAAUGUAUCUUCGUGAGCUUCCAGAGCCAUUGCUGACCAACGAAUUAUAUGAUGAAUUCCUGCAGGCAGGGAGUAUAUCAGAUUCUGACAGAAGACUGCAAUCUUUAUGGACAGUAGCAAAUAAACUACCAAGCUACAAUAAUAAGAAUUUUAGGUAUUUGAUAAAGUUUCUAAAGAAAGUUUCUGAGCACAGUGAAGUGAAUAAAAUGAGUACGUCAAACCUAGCUCUGGUCAUUGCUCCCAACAUACUGUGGUCGGAAAAAGAACGAGGAGUUUCUGUAACAUCAACUGCAAUGGCUUCUCAAAUUGUUGAAUCCUAUAUUACUUAUGCAGAUUGGUUCUUCCCAGAAGAAAUUGAAUUUGAGGUAUCUGAUGCAUGUCCAAAUAAACGAAAUUCAAUGGAAAGGACCACGCCGGUAGCUGAUCAAACAGAUGCUGGCCACUCACCUGCACAGACUAAAGUCACUCCACAGCAGUCCCAAUCACCUAAAGAGGUUGUCCAGACCCCCACUUCAACUGUUACAACCCCUCUUCUUAACGACACACAUGCACCUACAGAAAGAUAUCAAGCAGAGGUUUCCACAGCGGGACAGUCAACAGAAACGCAAGAAAAUAUUCCACGACAAAAGCGCCGAGCCCCGCUGGCUCCAGGUAGAGGCCCUAAACCUUCCACCUUUGAGCGAGAUGCUGCUAAGCCCACUAAGCCCAAAUAAACAUUCACUGUAAACUCUUCUAGCCACAAGAAUGAGUGUAUUUCAUAUUGAUAGAUUUAAAGUAUUUUGGACAAGGCCUGUACCAGCGAAAAGACCAAGCAAAAGAAAAGCACCAAAAGCACCAGCAAUCGGCACGUCAUUGUCCUCUCCGACCUCAACACUGACCAGGCAACACAGCGAUCAUUCGUUGUCACCGAA
Molecule: unclassified non-coding RNA, 2056 nt
Filed under: Anneissia japonica
Lineage: Eukaryota; Metazoa; Echinodermata; Crinoidea; Comatulida; Comatulidae
Description: rho GTPase-activating protein 17-like, transcript variant X4
Source: RNAcentral